Molecule: small nuclear RNA, 103 nt
Organism: Chionomys nivalis (European snow vole)
Lineage: Eukaryota; Metazoa; Chordata; Mammalia; Rodentia; Cricetidae
Source: RefSeq, a predicted model, not a curated record
UCACUUUGGUAGUACAUUUACUAAAACUGGGACGAUACAGAGAAUCUUAGGAUGGUCCCUGUGCAGGGAUGACAUGCAGACUCAUGAAGCAGUCUGUGUAUUU